UUUCAUCUCCCUUUACGUCUGUCAUGGCUGCCUUUCUGCAGCAGCAGCUGUGGAGCUCCGCGUCUCGCCGGCUUUUGUCUUCCUGCUCUUCAUCCCAUCGUUGCGAAUUUCUAGGAAGCAUCUUGGAUUGAAUGGAUCACAUCUGAGGUGUCCAAGCUUUUUGCCAGCAGGGACAAAAUCAUCGAGUUGAAAGCACUUGGAGGGCCAUGAAAAUGUAUUUUUGUGAAAUAAAAAUGUACAAAUAAAUGCAUUUUUCUUUUUUUUUCAAUUUUUAUCUGUUCAAUAAUUAACUAAACAUGCAAGGUUUUAUUGAAUUGUACCAAAUAAACACAUUUUUGUUGAAAAUGGAUCUGUAAAAGAAAAUAAUGGUCCAAAACAUAAAGGGUCCUGUAUGAUUAGUGUUAUCACAAAACAUAAAAAACAGACCUUCAGUUUGUUGUGAUUGUUUUAUUUCUGGGGCCAAAAUCCUCAUAAUAAAUUUUAAAAAAG
Long non-coding RNA from Xiphophorus hellerii (green swordtail), 489 nucleotides. RefSeq lists it as uncharacterized. Lineage: Eukaryota; Metazoa; Chordata; Actinopteri; Cyprinodontiformes; Poeciliidae. The record is from RefSeq and is a predicted model, not a curated record. The transcript has 2 exons.